Molecule: ribosomal RNA, 442 nt
Filed under: uncultured bacterium
Lineage: Bacteria
Description: partial 16S ribosomal RNA
Rfam family: Bacterial small subunit ribosomal RNA
Source: RNAcentral
CCUACGGGUGGCAGCAGUAGGGAAUCUUUCACAAUGGGCGAAAGCCUGAUGGAGCAACGCCGCGUGCAGGAUGAAGGCCUUCGGGUUGUAAACUGCUUUUAUAAGCGAGAAAUAUGAUGGUAACUUAUGAAUAAGGAUCGGCUAACUACGUGCCAGCAGCCGCGGUCAUACGUAGGAGCCGAGCAUUAUCCGGAGUGACUGGGUGUAAAGAGUGGAGUAGGUGGCAUAAUAAGUAGCUAGUGAAAUCUGGUGGUGCAACAAUUCAGACUAUUAGCUAAACUGUUAAGCUCGAGACCGUUAGAGGUAACUGGAAUGUGUGGUGUAGGAGUGAAAUCCGUAGAUAUUAGAAAGAACACCGAUAGCGUAGGCAGGUUGCUGGGACGGUUCUGACACUAAGGCACGAAAGCGUAGGGAGCAAACGGGAUUAGAUACCCCUGUAGUC